Gallus gallus (chicken) is the source of this 1841-nucleotide long non-coding RNA. NCBI's taxonomy places the organism in Eukaryota, Metazoa, Chordata, Aves, Galliformes, Phasianidae. The record is from Ensembl.
CCCUUCUGGAACAUUUAAUGUGCUUAGUGCUUAGCAGCAAGAACUUGAAUGAAGGCAUUCCUGGCUCAAUCGGGAUCAAUCUCAGUACAAAAGCUGUGAAGAUGAGACCAGCUGGACAGCACAAAGCAAUGACAGCUUCACCUUCACCAGCGCUCCUUGGGAUGCAAACAGAAGACAGCAGGGCGAGUUCCUGCCUGCUGGAUGCCACAGCCCUGCCUGCACCCACUCACUGCGAGGCCAGGAGGCAUUCUGUGCGUGUACACUCAGCCCCAUACUGCUCCCAGGCAAUUGCACUUUGCUUUAGCUGAUAUUAAUAAUGAAGGAUUGGCUGCCGAUAGCUCUCAUUUCCAUGGGCACAUUGCCCCAAAACGGGAAAAAAUGUCCGGGCUUUGAGUUGUGUAACCAGAAUGACCAGAAUUCAUAAUGGGAAGGAAGGAAGGCCAGAAAAACACAUUCACGUGCUGGGCAGUGACUGGCCUUGCAUGACCUCUGUAAGGCGCAGCUUCCCUCCCUGUCUAGCAUGCCUCAUUCCUUAUUCUCUGAAAACAUCAGUCUGCACUUGCAGCCUUUGUCCCUUGGGUUCAAAUCUCAGCACCCCUCACUGCAUUCCUUCAGCUUUUCACCCACUCCUUUAUUAAGUUAUGUUCCUUCUGGUGAUGCCCCGCUGGAGCUUCCAUAGCAGAAGAUGUAACAGGAAUGCAAACAAUAGGAACAUUUAAGAACAUUCUACUUUCCUCUGCUGUGUCCACUUUGUUAAGAUUAUUUCCACAGCAAACAGCCAAGACAUCUCCUGCGACUGAUUUGGAUGUUAAAUCGUGCACUGAUAAUGCCUUCCCUUCAUCAAUACAUUCCAGAGCCUUCACAAAGCUUUUCUGGCCACGUGGCUAUCCGGUGAACUGCAGUAGUGGCAGCUAAUCAGAUUUCCCAGACCUGAAAUGGAGAAGUGUUAUGAACAAAGAGGAGUCGGAGUGGGCGUACAUUCCUCACCCUGCUAUGCCGGCAGGAUUGUAUCUCAGGCUUUCAGAGCAGGAAAAGGAUGUUGCAGGCGUAAUGGCAGGCAAUAUCAAUCAGAUAAGUCUAUCUAAUUACAGAGGGUCUAUCUAAUUACUAGAUUAACUCGUUAACCUUGCUUACACGAGCGCAACUGGCCAAAUACCACCAUAGAGAACUGAUUUAGAGAAACAAUUGCUCAACACGUUAAACAGCGUCUUGUAAGGACAGGUUUUGGAUCAGACAGCAGACUAUUGUGGGCUAAGACAAGUGGUUUGUGUAGGAGAGAACUGCAGCUGAAUCGCUAAUUAAUAGUAACCACAAAUUCAGCCUUCCUAGAAACAGAAUUGCACCAAAAGGACUGGAUAUUGACUCUAGAUUUUAGAGGGUUUGUUUUUUGAGGGAGCGAGCCAGCAAUAAAACACGUUCAAGGUGAAGGAAUUGCUUCAAUGGAGCCUCUGAAGGGAACGGAAGCAUUUGCCCCUAAUUCUCAAGUCUUUAUUCUAACACAGACUGCAGUAGUGGUGCUGCACGAAGCGUGGCUGUAUUUCUUGCUUUCAGCACAUCUGUGGUGUGACCGUGCAGUAGGGAAGAAUGCUUUCGGACACCGGUGAGCACCCCGGGCUGAGGGCUGCAUGCAUUCCCCUCAGCCCACACCUUGAACCCCCGAGGAGCUACAGAGGAGCUUUGCCUCCUAAGAGGAACACGAGCCCCACGUUGAGGGGACUGACAGAGAUCUUAAAACCAGCUGGAAGGAACUGAGUGAACAGACACCACAGCUCCACACGAACCACCCCCACCAUUGGCCGCAUUACGCAUGCGCAGCACAGCGCGCAGGCACAACAACCGCG